CUGUUACCAUUAUCAUCACACCCCUUAAUGCUGUGAGAUACAGUAAAAUCAUCCAAUAUGCCAAAAAUUUUAACCUCAAAAUCCAAUUUGUUUCUUUCCCAUUUCCUUGCCAGGAAGCUGGUCUCCCUGAAGUAUGUGAAAAUAUGGACUUGAUCCCUUCUCCAGAUUUGAUACCAAAUUUUUUUAGAGCAAGUAAUAUGCUACAAGAACCUUUAGAAAAAUGGCUCCAAGGGCUAGAAUCUCAGCCUAGUUGCAUCAUUUCAGAUAUAUGUUUCCCAUGGACUAGUGAUGUUUCUCUUAGGUUCAACAUUCCAAGAAUUGUCUUCCAUGGAAUUUCUUGCUUCACUCUCUUUUGUUCUCACAUCCUUUCUCACCACCAUGUUCUUAAGAAUGUCAACUCUGAUUCAGAGCCUUUUUCAGUUCCUGACAUCCCUGAUAGGAUUGAAUUCACUAAAGCACAGUUACCAGAAGCAAGAAAAGAUUUGAAAGCUGUGAUGGAACGGUUUAAGGAGGCUGAGCUCUCAGCAGAAGGGGUGGCGGUGAAUAGUUUUGAAGAGUUAGAACCAGCUUAUGUGGAAGGAUACAGAAAAGUAGUGAAGAAGAUAUGGUGUAUUGGUCCUCUUUCUCUGUAUAACACAAAUGAGAUCUCAAGUUAUGAGCAUAAGUCCCUCAAAUGGCUUGAUUCUAAGAAGCAAAGUUCUGUUUUAUACGUUUGCUUUGGCAGCCUCUGUCACUUUUUACCUCAACAGCUGAUAGAGCUUGGUAUGGGCCUGCAAGCAGCAAACCAUCCGUUCAUUUGGGUUGUAAAGGAAGGAGAUUAUUCAAAAGAGUUAGAAAAAUGGCUACUGGAGGAGAAAUUUGAAGAAAAGCUUGAAGGAAGAGGUCUUGUAGUUCGCGGAUGGGCACCACAGGUCCUGAUAUUAUCUCAUCCAGCAAUUGGUGGGUUCUUGACUCAUUGUGGCUGGAACUCAACACUGGAAGGGAUUUCUGCAGGUGUGCCAAUGAUAACUUGGCCUAUGUUUGCUGAGCAAUUCCAUAAUGAGAAGUUAAUAGUGCAAGUGUUGAAGAUAGGUGCAAGAGUUGGAGCUAAGGUAAUUGUGAACUGGGGAGGAAGAGAAGCUGGGUGUGUUGGUGAAGAGAGAGAACAUAAAGAAGGCAAUAAAUCAGUUGAUGGAUGAAGG
RNAcentral lists this unclassified non-coding RNA (1181 nucleotides) under Hevea brasiliensis (rubber tree). The record is from RNAcentral. Lineage: Eukaryota; Viridiplantae; Streptophyta; Magnoliopsida; Malpighiales; Euphorbiaceae.